RNAcentral lists this unclassified non-coding RNA (299 nucleotides) under uncultured fungus. RNAcentral describes it as "partial contains small subunit ribosomal RNA, internal transcribed spacer 1, and 5.8S ribosomal RNA". The stretch from base 1 to 73 matches the Rfam family "Eukaryotic small subunit ribosomal RNA", at positions 1759 to 1831 of the family's 1831-position model. Lineage: Eukaryota; Fungi. The record is from RNAcentral.
GCAAACUUGGUCAUUUAGAGGAAGUAAAAGUCGUAACAAGGUUUCCGUAGGUGAACCUGCGGAAGGAUCAUUACCGAGUGCGGGCCCUCGCGGCCCAACCUCCCACCCUUGUCUCUAUACACCUGUUGCUUUGGCGGGCCCACCGGGGCCACCUGGUCGCCGGGGGACGUCGUCUCCGGGCCCGCGCCCGCCGAAGCGCUCUGUGAACCCUGAUGAAGAUGGGCUGUCUGAGUACUAUGAAAAUUGUCAAAACUUUCAACAAUGGAUCUCUUGGUUCCGGCAUCGAUGAAGAACGCAGC